Molecule: ribosomal RNA, 529 nt
Filed under: uncultured Actinomycetes bacterium
Lineage: Bacteria; Bacillati; Actinomycetota; Actinomycetes
Description: bacterial SSU rRNA
Rfam family: Bacterial small subunit ribosomal RNA
Source: RNAcentral
GAGUUUGAUCCUGGCUCAGGACGAACGCUGGCGGCGUGCCUAAUACAUGCAAGUGGAGCGACGAACCAGGGCUUGCCCUGGGGCAAAGCCGCGAACGGGUGAGUAACACGUGGGUAACCUGCCCUGAUGAUUGGGACAACCCGAGGAAACUCGGGCUAAUACCAAAUGUGCUCUUCGCCUUUAAGGGUGUUGAGGAAAGGUAGCUUCGGCUAACCGCAUCAGGAUGGGCCCGCGGCCCAUUAGCUUGUUGGUGAGGUAACGGCUCACCAAGGCUCCGAUGGGUAGCUGGUCUGAGAGGACGAUCAGCCACACUGGGACUGAGACACGGCCCAGACUCCUACGGGAGGCAGCAGUAGGGAAUCUUGCGCAAUGCGCGAAAGCGUGACGCAGCAACGCCGCGUGGAGGAAGACGGUCUUCGGAUUGUAAACUCCUUUCAGUUGGGACGAAGCUUUGGCGUUGAAUAGACGUUUCGGAGUGACGGUACCUUCAGAAGAAGCCCCGGCUAACUACGUGCCAGCAGCCGCCGCC